This 855-nucleotide ribosomal RNA is filed under the name uncultured bacterium. RNAcentral's name for it is "bacterial SSU rRNA". It matches the Rfam family "Bacterial small subunit ribosomal RNA", at positions 28 to 896 of the family's 1533-position model. The record is from RNAcentral.
GAUGAACGCUAGCGGCAGGCCUAAUACAUGCAAGUCGAACGGUGUCUUCGGACAUAGUGGCGCACGGGUGCGUAACACGUAUGCAACCUACCUUACAUUGGGGGAUAGCCUUUCGAAAGGGAGAUUAAUACCGCAUAAGACAGUAACUAGGCAUCUAGUAGCUGUUAAAGAUUUAUCGAUGUAAGCUGGGCAUGCGACCAAUUAGCUUGUUGGUGAGGUAAUGGCUCACCAAGGCUAUGAUUGGUAGGGGAACUGAGAGGUCAAUCCCCCACACUGGCACUGAGAUACGGGCCAGACUCCUACGGGAGGCAGCAGUAGGGAAUAUUGGGCAAUGGACGCAAGUCUGACCCAGCCAUGCCGCGUGCAGGAUGAAGGCGUUAUGCGUUGUAAACUGCUUUUAUACAGGAAGAAACGACUCUUGCGAGAGGCAUUGACGGUACUGUAUGAAUAAGCACCGGCUAACUCCGUGCCAGCAGCCGCGGUAAUACGGAGGGUGCAAGCGUUGUCCGGAUUUAUUGGGUUUAAAGGGUGCGCAGGUGGUUUAUUAAGUCAGUGGUGAAAGACGGUCGCUCAACGAUUGCAGUGCCAUUGAAACUGGUAGACUUGAGUAAAGUAGAGGUGGGCGGAAUUGAUAGUGUAGCGGUGAAAUGCAUAGAUAUUAUCAAGAACUCCAAUUGCGUAGGCAGCUCACUUGGCUUUUACUGACACUCAUGCACGAAAGUGUGGGUAUCAAACAGGAUUAGAUACCCUGGUAGUCCACACUGUAAACGAUGAUAACUAGGUGUCGGCCGAAUCUGGUCGGUGCCACAGCGAAAGCGUUAAGUUAUCCACCUGGGGAGUACGCCGGCAACGGUG